RNAcentral lists this ribosomal RNA (253 nucleotides) under uncultured bacterium. RNAcentral describes it as "partial 16S ribosomal RNA". It matches the Rfam family "Bacterial small subunit ribosomal RNA", at positions 524 to 776 of the family's 1533-position model. The record is from RNAcentral.
UCCGUAGGUGGCAAUCGUUGUCCGGAAUUAUUGGGCGUAAAGGGCGUGUAGGUGGAUCUUUAAGUCGUGUGUCUAAGUGCGGUGCUCAACGCCGUAUGGGCGCAGGAAACUGGGGAUCUUGAGUGCAGGAGAGGAAAGCGGAAUUCCCAGUGUAGCGGUGAAAUGCGUAGAUAUUGGGAGGAACACCAGUGGCGAAGGCGGCUUUCUGGACUGUGUCUGACACUGAGGCGCGAAAGCCAGGGGAGAGAACGGG